RNAcentral lists this ribosomal RNA (234 nucleotides) under uncultured Actinomycetales bacterium. RNAcentral's name for it is "partial 16S ribosomal RNA". It matches the Rfam family "Bacterial small subunit ribosomal RNA", at positions 97 to 334 of the family's 1533-position model. Lineage: Bacteria; Bacillati; Actinomycetota; Actinomycetes; Actinomycetales. The record is from RNAcentral.
GGCGAACGGGUGAGUAACACGUGGGUGAUCUGCCCUGCACUUCGGGAUAAGCCUGGGAAACUGGGUCUAAUACCGGAUAGGAGCCAUUUUUAGUGUGAUGGUUGGAAAGUUUUUUCGGUGUAGGAUGAGCUCGCGGCCUAUCAGCUUGUUGGUGGGGUAAUGGCCUACCAAGGCGGCGACGGGUAGCCGGCCUGAGAGGGUGGACGGCCACAUUGAGACUGAGAUACGGCCCAG